Molecule: unclassified non-coding RNA, 675 nt
Filed under: Hevea brasiliensis (rubber tree)
Lineage: Eukaryota; Viridiplantae; Streptophyta; Magnoliopsida; Malpighiales; Euphorbiaceae
Source: RNAcentral
AUGAUGGCAGGAAAAUGCAUCCUAGGUCAUCAUUCAAAGCAUUCCUGGAAGUUGUCAAGACAAGGAGUAUACCCUGGAAGGAUUAUGAGAUGGAUGCAAUCCACUCUUUGCAGCUCAUACUAAGAAAUGCUUUCAAGGAUGCUGAGGUUGUGAAUUCAAAUACCAAUUCCAUCUAUAAGAAGCUUAAUGAUCUAAAGAUUGACGGAAUGCAGGAACUAGAAUCAGUGACUGCUGAAAUGGUCCGCUUAAUUGAAACAGCUUUAGUUCCUAUAUUAGCAGUUGAUGUUGAUGGGCAGGUUAAUGGAUGGAACACAAAAAUAGCUGAAUUAACUGGUCUUCCUGUUGAUGAAGCAAUUGGGAAACAUCUUCUCACUCUCGUGGAGGAUUCAUCAGUUGAUACCGUGAAUAAGAUGUUGGAAUUAGCAUUGCAGGGGAAAGAGGAAAAAAAUGUAGAGUUUGAAAUAAAAACACAUGGGCCGUCAAGAGAUUCUAGUCCAAUCAGCUUAAUCGUGAAUGCAUGUGCAAGCAAAGAUGUUCGGGAUAAUGUUGUGGGUGUGUGUUUUAUGGCUCAUGAUAUAACUGGACAAAAAAGCAUCAUGGACAAGUUCACCCGAAUCGAAGGUGACUAUAGAGCGAUUAUCCAAAAUCCUCACCCAUUGAUCCCACCAAUAUUUG